This is an RNA transcript of Pseudopipra pipra, 24556 nucleotides long. It is a transcript of the gene named TAFA chemokine like family member 2, with no coding region annotated. The record is from RefSeq and is a predicted model, not a curated record. Lineage: Eukaryota; Metazoa; Chordata; Aves; Passeriformes; Pipridae. The transcript is spliced from 4 exons.
UGAGGAUAGUAUAGUUGAUCCCUUGAACUAAAAGUAAUCAUCAAAUGUAUUAUAAUCUAAUAUGUAUUUCUUUCUGAAACUUGCUCAAAGUCUGUAUACCUUGCUAAGCCCUUCAUUUACAGGAUACCAAACAAGUGCAUUUUUAUCAAUAACAUGGAAUACCAUGUUUCUACAUAAAAACUGCUGAGUAUGGUAAGCAUUUGAUGUGUCAUUACAGUAUGAUCUUUCGGUCCUUAUCAUCUUGUAUGACUGGGAUUUACCAAGAAAUUUUGACAGAGUUUCAGUGAGUUCUUUUCCUCCAUUUGACACUUCUUAUAUUAUUGGUUCAAAAUUACAUUAACAGCAAUACAUCUAACAUUCAUCAUAUACAAUGCUUGACAACAAAGUAUACAUGCUGUCAUCUCUGCUUUUUAGUGGCGAAGAGAAAUAGAAGAAAAACAAAUUCUUCAGAUAAGUUGUAAACACAAAAACUUCCUAAAUCUACAGCAUUGUAUCACAGUUCUUCAUCAACAUACAAAAGAUUAAAAUGCUCUCAGAAGACACACGUGCAUGUGUUUAAGUAUAAACACCUUCACCUCUACAUGCCACCACACACACUCAUGUCUGGUUUUUCUUUUAAGUAUUUAGUACUUGUUUGCAGUGUCAGGCCAUAAUUUGCUAGCAUAGUGUUUACUGUGUGCAAGUGUUUGAGUGUCUGUGUCAUUUCAUUUCCUUUCAUAAACACUAAAUUUCUGGUAUACAUUGGCUGUAGUGAUAUGUAGCGUGCACUGAUGGAAUUGUGUUCCUUCUGUUCCACAGAGAGCUCCAUAUGUCUCAGUUUCUGUAUGUAUAAGUCUCUAAAACAUUUUGACAUUCUUUGAAGGAAGGACACUUUCUAAAUGUUUUUUAUAAAAUCCCAUUCCUGAAUCCACUUUCAAAUAUGUUUCUUCUGAACAUAACCUUGCUGGAAUGCCGCCCACACUUAACUUUGUACAGGCCAAUGCAAAACUGAUUAUAUAAAUGUAAAAUGUGUCUGCAUGUAUAAUAUAACAAGAAGGAACUAGAUAGAAUUUAAUAAUAGUAAUAGAAAUAGAAAAAGAAUUGUAUGUGUUUUAAAAUUUGUCAAACACUAACCACUAUUAGUGUUACAGAAUACAUGCCAUUUUAUGUUUAUUGAGAGUGUUUAACAAGAGGUAAGUAAACAUGUGGGUCUGGAUUACAUUUCUGCAGAAAAAAAAAGAGGUCCCAAAAGGAGGAAAGAUGAAUUAGAAAUGCCUUGAUGCCUUGAUUCUUCUCAAUAAUUUGUCAGAAUAUGGGUUUUUCUGCAUUUGUUGAGGUUGUGAAGUUUUGUCCGUUGUUAGGAAUCUACAGAAGACCAAAGGUGUUGUCCUCAAGGGCUUAUGCCUCUUUUGUAGAUUUGUAGGACUAGUUUUUUGAAGCAGUUGGAAUUUUCUUGUCCUCCGUGGGGGCAAUCCUCAGGGUUCAUUUCAUACCUCUUCAAAAGUGAUGCUUUGAAAAAGCCAGUCCUUUUUUUAUAUUUGCCAUCAUAAACAGUGAUUCAGUAUAAUGGCUACCAUAACCUGCUUACAGACCUAGCACCACUAAAAGGUCGCCUUAAAUGCCCCACUAUUUGUUCUGCUUUCUGGUUUGUCCAGAUAUGGUAUGCUGUGCCCCUUCUUCCUUCAUUUUCCACAUAUCUGCAAGGCUGUUUUGAGACAAUAGCAAACUUGAAUUCAAAUUUCUGAUUUAAAGUUGGUCUAAGUCAUUGAAACCAGGUGACAGGUGAAUGAAGGUCUCUGUCUUUUCAGAUGCAGGGAGCUGUGAUUUUAGCAAACAUCUUUCUGAUGGGCAGAAAAAUAUACAUUGCUAUUGGAAAUGCGAGUAGUUCUUUAUGUUAAGAGAGUAGCUUAUUAUCAAAAGGCAAAUAACUUUCCCUAAUAUGUAGUGACUACAAUAUUUUUUUAGCUCCUCUUUCUGCUCCCUGAAGUCUAUAUAUAAAUAAAAGAUUCUAAAUUGCUCUGUGGUUUCAAAAUCUCCUUUUUUUUCCUUUUUUUUUUUUUUCUUUUAUGAGAAUAAUAAAAAUAACUCUACAAUCAGUCAGUAUUAAGAAAUCAUGAAUAAUAAGUUUCUCACUGUAAAAUGAAAUAAACCAUAUGUGAUUAUAAAGAAACAAAGAGAACUGAGCAGCUUGGGUGAUUUAAGUGGAUUACGGAAAAGCCUUGUGAAGACUUUCCUGAAAAGCCAAAAAAAAGGCUAUAUUCACCUCCAAGCAUUUUCUAAGUUAGCCUCCUUCAUGUGCGAAAAACCUAACCCAAUUGACCACUGAAAUACUAGCUACUCUUUUAUGGGAUACCAGCUUCAAAAGCAGCACUUAUAUUUCUGCAUCUUGAGUUGUUAAUAGUUAAGCUUUAUGUUAGAGAUAAAACUAGUGGAGGAAGAAAGUAUUUUACUUGUCCACCUCUCUUAGCAUAUUUAAUCAUAGUAUUGUAAAAAAUGAUGAUACCAACUUCCUAAUACUUAUGAUAUUAGGCAAAAAGGCCAAAUGAAUAAUGGGGGAAAACUAAGGGAUUUUUAAAAAUAUGGUCAGCUUAAGGUUUUGCAUUUUGUUCAGCUAUAGUGAUCUAAUAAGGUCUUACAUGAAUAAUGAAUUAGAAAUACUAGAAUUCAGAUGUUAAGAAAACUCAUUUGGAAAUUUUCUUCAGAAUGAAAAGACAGGUAUUAUUAUCUUAAUUUGUUUGCAUGUUAGUGGGAAAAGGCUGAUGUUAAGAGUUAACCACAGAAAAGGACUGAAUACAGGGAGAAAGUGUGUAUGAAUAAGCUGAGUACUGAGUUAACUUAUGCUCAUUUAGAGUUGACUACUUUGGUCUAUGUAGCCUGCAGGAAGGGACAGGGAAAAAAGCCAAUGACAACUUAGCUAAACCAGAAAUUUUUUUGAGUUCAUAUUAAGAAAUGUGUGUUUGUGUUGCUGAGCAUUAUACCACAACAAAACAGAAUAUUCAGAAGCAUAUUAGAAGAGUUAUGAAAUAAUUAUGAGCAUAGCUGAGAUUUUACCAGGUGCAUUUAGGCAUUCUCCUCCAGACUGAGAAACUGUUGUUAGAGGAAGCAAUUGAAUUUUUUUAUAUGGCUAGCCUCAAUUUUUGAUAAAUAAACACAAAAUUUUUGUCACAUUGCCUUCUUUAAAUGAUUAGAAAAGUGUUUCAAAAAAGGGGAAAAUCCAUUUUUUUUUACAUUUGAAAUACUCUUUCUUCUUCCAGUGUCUUUCUAACAUAAUUAUUUUAAUUCAAAAAGCUCUCCUGGUUGUGUUUCCUUUCUUUUCCUUCAAUAUAGGAAAAUGUCUGCUUAAAACAAAGAAAUUUUUCCAUCAGUUGAAAACUACAAAAUAUAGCAGUCUUAUGUAUAAAACUGAAAAUGACAUUUAAAAAAUGCUAUGAGUUUGUGUUAAACAAAGACUGGAUAUUUUGCAGUCAGGUAAGAGCUGAGGAGAAGUAAUUUAAUAUUUCUCUAAGUUAUGGGGUGUGUUCCACACCAGAGGUCUCUCUGUGGAUAGGGGUUUUCUAAGGGCUGAUCCAGAUGCCAGGCUUUACUUGUAUUUUUAAGAACAUUACAUUGCCCAUUAUCUUUAUCACAGAGGCAGACUUUACAUAUGAGCACCAGAAGCUGCAUGUAAACUGUAUGAAAGUGCAUGUUGCAGUGCCUCCUGCAGUCCCAGUUCCCCAGGCAUCCACCCUGGGACUAGCUUGAACAAUAUCAUGGCUCCUAGGCAGCCCAUAAACCUGUGUGUCUUUCCUGCAGAAACUAGACCACAAGAACAAGGUAAAGUGCUGUAUCCCAGGUCUCAUCUUGAGAUCAUGGAGAUGCAGCAUGACUAAAGAAGUGUGUUCUUGCUCCUGGCAGUGGGAAAGUGGCUCUGGGCUGAUAUUUUAUGAAGAUGUAGAGCAAUACACAUUUGUAUUUUUCAUAAGAGAAAUAUAGUGUAGAAUAGACUAUUUCAGUUGAAAGGAACCUACACUAAUCCAACUACCCGACCAAUUCAGGGCUAACCAAAUUAAGGCAUGUCAAUAGGGGCAUUGUCCGAAUGCCUCUUCAACAACUGACAAGCUUGGGGUAUUGACCACCUCUCUAGGAAGCCUGUUCCAAUGUUUGACCAUCCUUUCAGUAAAGAAAAGCUUCCUUAUGUUCAAUCUAAACCUUCCCCGGUGCACCUUUGAACCACCGUGCAGUAAUGAAAUAGUACCUUGUCUUCAAGCUUUUAGCUUGAUUUGGUAGGACUGCCUGUGGAACAAGGCAUAGUUUUAAUACUAAGCACUAAGUUCUGAUUAAAAUAUAUGGAGUGGAAUUUACUGGACUUUGCUUGGGUUAGGACUCUAGAGUGAGAUAACUAGCCCAAGGUCUUGACUGUCUUUUUAGUAUUGAGAACUGUUCAAUUCCAGAAACCAAUUAAUUUUGUUCUAAGAUAAGUCAGAUGAAUUAUCUUCUGGAGGUGCUUAUGUCUCUCAAGUAACCUAGAAGAAAGCUACGAUGACUAGAUUAGCCCCUAACAUUUAGAUACUUAAUGCUGUAUAGGAAGCAGCUGGCUUAAAGAAUUUACUCUCUUUGAUGUGGUCCUCAGUAGGAAGAUGAUCAUAAAAAUACCUUCAUUCUUUGUCAGUUUGGGAAGCUUUGGAUUUUGACCACUAUCAAAUGCAAUAUAAUAUUUUCAAAGUUUCAAGAAUGUUCAUAUUCUGAUGAUACACAACUGUGAGCUAAACUGGUGAAUCAUACUAUGAUGAGCAAUAUGUCCAGUAUAUACUAUUCAGUAAAAGCUGGCAACAGUGCAUGUUCUUUUAGCACUGAGUUAUUGGUAUAAUACAAACACUAAUACUAAUACUAUAAAUUAACAACAAAAAAAAAGUCAGAUACAUAGCAGGUAUUGAUUAUUAACCUCUGAAAAUCUCUAGAAAGUGAGCAGUGUUUUCCUCUAGACAAGUGAAAGAAGUAUUUUCAGCUGGGUCACAAAGGGCAGCUUUUGGAAAUGAGCAGCUAGCUACUGGAAUAGCUGAGCACCCAUACUUUUAAAAUGGUCUGAAGGAACUGCAAUUGUCACUCUGAAAACUAGCUAAUAUUUUUAACAUGUGGAGAAAAGCACACAGAACAGAAAGAAAUCAAUAUCUAAUAUAUUACUAUGUAACUAUAUGGUAAACCAAUAUUAGCAAUAGAGUACUGCACUAAAAUAAAAUAAAUAUUACAAGGGCAGAGAGAAAUAAAAGAGAAAUAUUACAGAGCCAAAAAUAAAUCCAUAUUGAAUAUAUUUAUCCACAUGCCAAAUCCAAAUCUGCUUUCCAAAUCAAUACUGGAGAUAGAUGACUAAUGUGAAAUGAACAGAAAUAUUGCCAGCAUGGUGAGAAACCCAUACUGAGAGUGUUUAUCUACAUUCAAAAACAAUAUUGGAGAAAGCCUGAAGUCAGUUAUUUGUAAUAUUCUAAUUUAUUUAAUUUUACCUUAUGACUUCCAGAGUUUAAAAGAAAGUAAAAAUUGAAUAUCGUCCUUGGAAGAAGAGAAAGUAUACCAUCCAAGCACACCAACUGGCUGCACAUGAAGCCAAAUUGUGUUCAGUAUGUUUAUCCCACUGCUCUCAGUCAAUGUAAUUUCAUUGCUAUCUAUAAAUACUGCUUACAUUUUUACCCUAUCUCUUCUUUCUCACUUGCAGAUGCUGGGUUGUUUCUAAAUUAAUUACAGCUGGUGACAGAAGAGGAACUUAUUUAUGUUUCAAUUUAUAAAAUAUGCUGUUCAUAAUCCUUUCAGCAUAAGGAAUGAAAGGACCUCUGUUAGGUACCUGUACAUAGUAAUGCUUUUCAUUGGGCUUCUCAGAUUCCCAAUAUCAAAAGGCAGCAUUAAGUGGUGACUCAACUACCACCGGUGCUGUCAUAACUGAUGCUUGAGAAAGACAAUUAAUACAAGAGAGCUAAAGUAUGUCCCUAGAUAUGAGAAGAAACGGACAUUUUUCUUGUAACUGAGCCUGACCUAGUGUUGACAAUGCAGCGAUGUCAGUUGUUGAUCUGUACUUCUCCAGAUGAGGAACACAUGCAUAGGCUCUUUAAGCAGGAGCAGAGGGGAAGAAAAUGGAACAAGUAUUAAUUUUUUUCUGCCAAAGAUGAAAAGAAAUAUCACCGUUGUGGUAGCUUCUUCCCUCAUGUCUGUUCUUCUUCCUCCUCCAGGCUUUUCAGAAACAGCAGUAGUAAUGAUAUGUAAUUGGAAAAAACAGAAAUUCAUCAUACAAAUGUCAUGUAUAGGUUAUUCCAGGGUGUUUCUGAUAGGCUGGAUGUAUGGUAGUUGUGGUCAGUUAGUGCUAAUAAGGCAGCAUAUGACAUGUUUUACAGUGUAAAAUUGCUACUAACUUACAUCACAGGAAAGUUUGCCUUUUGAUUUGACCGCUGUGAAAUGUGAAAUACUUACAGGAUGAAUCAAUGAUCUGCCAUGUGUUAGGUACAGGAAGUACUUUCCCUAAUAUUAUUUAAUGGGGUGUAUAUAUCAAUGAAGAAACCACCUCACUGUAAAACUGCUCUGUUUCCCUGUCUCACUUCAGAGCCUCUGUCUAUAGACUCCUCACCUCCUAUCUUAAUUUCAGAUGAAGAUUUAUAGGACUAAUGCACAUAUAUACAGUGACCAGCAAUACCUUGUGGUUCAUGAAAAUUAUGUGAUUACAAUAUGAGUGAGUACACAGACUGUAGCAAAAUAUUACCCAUGGAAAAGAGUGAUUGCACUCGUGACAGCCUCUUUAUGUAUCUCUUUCCAUGGUAUGGUAACUCUUUCCAGGCCUUUGGCUAAUCUAUCAUUAGGAGAAGUUUGCAGCUGUUGCAGCAUGUUUCUCAUUGCUAACUCAGAGACCCACUAUAUCUAAUCUGUCAUUAAAAUAGCAGUAAGUUGUAUCUACACAUUUUCUAAGAAUACAUACAAGUUUUAGGGGGCAAAUGAGCUGGUAAUAGAAACAUGAGGAUAUUUUCUAGGAUUGAGCUAGAUUUUGUAUUAAUCAGUAAUUAUUGGUUUGAUCUAGCAUCACAGUUCUUUCAUUUUGAAGCUUCAUAUUUUUUUAGGGCACGUAAACACUAAUCUUUUGAUGAAAAUAGUUAGCAUGCCAACCAACACAUGUUACAAGGAAUCAUCAGUAUUCAGGGCAAUGCAAUUCACUGAUUUUCCUAAAAAUAACCUUCAUAUACCAAAUUUGCUUCUUUAAUGUUGGUAUGCCUAGUUUUAUCCUAUGAAAAGUCGCAAGUCUAUAUUUGACAGGAGUCUAGGCCUACAGCUUGAUGAUGUUCAUUUUUGCAGUCACGGAAAUCUAGACAAGUCAUGGUCCUUUCCCCAAAAGCAAAUAUACUCUAAAAUACUCACAAAAGACUAGUUAUGGUAUAAAGAAUUAUCUGAAUGAGUGUUGUGAUGUGAAAUGUUAUAAGCAAAGUCAGAGACUGAAAGGUCAGUAAAACUUGUUGGGCAGGUGAAGAUAAUCCAAACAUUCAACUCCCAAGACAUUUUCAGUCUCAAAUUUUGUUUAGUUCUGUUCUGAUUUUGAGUCUUUUGGAUACUGAAAUUAAGAACAAAAGUGAGGAACAUCUAAAGAGAGAAUGGAUUAAAGGCAAUAUUCAUUGAUACAGCUCUUUUGGAAAGAGGGAGACUGAUGAUACAUUGCCUUGCUAAUCUCCCUGUGGGAGGGGAGUCUUGCCUCUGGCUACGCAGAAAAGGUAAUCUAAAUUUUUUGUGAGUAGAGAUACUGUACAAAUCAUGAGAAAUGAAAUCUUCUGCAAUCCCUUCAUCACACUUGCUGUGUGAUACUCUAAUUUAUACAUUUUUAUUGUGGAAUAGGUUGUCUCAAGGUAAGACUGUAUCUAGGAUCCACUGUAAAGCAUCCUUUUAUCAUCUGCGGAACCUGAACAUUGAUAGAAUUACUCUGAAAUAAUGGGAAAAUAUUUCUGCAAUAUUUAAAGAAAAAUGCAAAUAGAUUGCAAUUGCAUGUCAUUAAUUAAUAAUCAGUGAUUUUUGCAAAUAUUACUUCCAUGUGCGAACCCUACAAUUCACCUGUCUAGCCGAGAGGUUUUCUGCCUUUGUCCCAAAAGAUUCAACUUGUGAUUUAUUUUUCUUAUUCUUUUUUCCCCCUCGUCCUUUGCUGGCGUAUUUGAGACAUUGACUUCAUGCCUGAAGAAUAAUUUUGUGCCUCUGAUGGAAAAUAAAAAUGAGUUCUUAAGGCUGUUUGUUAAUGACUGGUUUUCUGCACUUCUCCAUGAAGUUCUGCUUUUCCAGCGUCCUGACACCAAAAUCAAAGACGUUUCCACUCAUUUGCAGCUUCAUUCUGCCAGUCCCUUUGACAUUCACAGCUGCGCAAGAGCUCUUUGAAUAUCUAGUAGUCCUUUUAAAUUUUCUCGGAAAAUUGUCAGUUUCUACUACAUCAGGAAUUACCAUACAGAAAGAUGAUAUUCAUAUGCCACUAUCGUGUGAGUCAUGCUGGCAUGCUCUAAAACUAGUGCUUCUUCCUUGUCUCACCCUCCUUUGUAAUCUGUGGGGGCUUCUUUGUAUCAUUUCUGCAAGUCAGAAUGAUACACCUCAGAGGGAAAGGGGUGUUCUGAAACCUCACGUCAUCUGCUACCUAAAUAGCUGCAGGCAGAACUCUUGCCUUUUUCCCUGGGUAUUUGGCACAGGCUUCAGAAACUCUGCAUCACUGCUUAGUUGUAGAACUGAUAGGAGGGAGUGCAAAAGUGGCCCCCAAUUGUUCAAAAUGUAAUACCUUCAAUUCUCCAAAAUAACAUAGUUUUCUUGAGGUAUUUCCUUAUUCAUUGGGACUGAUUAUAGAAAAUAUCAAAACCCCCGCCCUGCCACAGCUCUGCUUUUCUGCCUUCUAAUAGGGAAGGAAAAGGAUAAUAAUCUAUGUGGAGAGUCAGCCAUACAGAGCAUUCUGAGCAUACACAGUGGGAGGAGUGAACAACUCUUAAACAAGUUGAAAUCAGAUUGUUUAGAUAUUAUUCCCUUGCACAGCAAAGUGAACAUGGUUGUAAAUCUUACAUAUUUCUCAAUAAGAAUAAUGAAGGUAGUCCUGUCCUAUCUGAGAACUCUUCAAAAUGAAGGAAAAUUUAAGGCAGGAAUAAGUGAAAGAUUGAUGUCUACAACUAAAUUAAUAAAGAAGAUGACCAAGAUAGAAUUAAUUUACAUAAGAAUUUCAAAAUUGGCAAUUUUUUUUUCAUGGCUUGGAGUUUACUACUCCUUCCACCUCAGUGAACACCAGGUCAAAUUUCAGGAAAGCCACUACUGCUGUGGAGAACAGACUCCAAAGGACUUUCUGUGUUCUAUAAAAUGGACUCUGAGUUUUCUUCUACUGCAUUAUUAGUAUACACCAAUGAUUCCUUCUCAGAUCUUACAGUUCUGAUUCUCAUUCAUUCCCUUCCAUAUCUGCAGUGAUAAAUGCCGUGUAGCUCUGAAGCACAGAUUCUGGAUAAAGUUACAAAAUAUCCAGUUUAUCAUAGCUUAUUCUUUUGAUGCAACCUGUAGAAUUGAAUUGGUGAGACUGAAGAGAAGUGUGUCUCCAGUUUAUGAAGAAUGACAUGAUUUCAAGGAAAUAGUGGAUUGUGUCUAGCCAACAUGCAUCUACAAACUCAGUAGUAAUAGAAGAUCUGAGCAUUUUAACGGCGUUGUGUAUUUUAAGAGGUCCAAAACAGUUUGUCUCUUCAGAUUCAAGAACACCAGAAGAUAUAUUACUGAUGCCAGCCAGAAGAACUUGUUUCUUCAUCCUGAAUUCCAUCUUUGUGGCUUAGGAACAUGUCCCUGCCAGAGGAUGACCAAAUGACUUUAUAUCUGCUCCUGCUGUCUCUAACUGAGGCAAAUACACUCCAAAAUCAGAUUAGUUCUUCUUCUAGAAUCUGGAGAUCCCUCUAUCCUGCCUCUUUGUUAUCGUUUCAGAGUGACGUUGGAAAAUGCAAAUUUACCAUCUUCAAGGCAUCAUUCCAAUUCCACUAGCUAGUAAUUAUUUUUCAUCAUCCUCAAAGUACAAAAAAAGGAAGAGGAGACUUUGUUCUAGAAUGCACCUUGGCAAAUUUGAAGCUUAUUACUUGGGAAGCCAAUUUCUUUUUGGAUGGUCAUUCAAGAAAUUGUCAGAGUCCUUUUUCUUUCUCUUGACCUUAAAGCACAUAAUUGAUGCUGAACAUUCCUGAUAUUUGAAGGCAAUGACCUCUUCAGAGCCUUUUGGUCUUUCCUUCAUUACUUGAGAUUUUAGAAUACCAGCAUCUAAUUGCAGUUAGCUACUUCAAUUCAUUCAUACUUAUCUUGCCUUGGGUCACAUGUUAGUUAGAAGAUAAUGAGAAGAUGCAGGUAUGAAAAAACUGGACAGGUUCUUUAAGAAAGACAAGCUAAAUUGAAAAGCACAUCAGAUUCUUACCUAAAUUUCUAGCAUUCAUUUUUUCCUUUGACAGGAUACUUCUUUUCUGUGUACUGUGGAGUUCAGAAAUGGUGUCCGGAUGAUCCCCAGUACAGAGGAGUUGUAAGACCCUGUAACUUUCACCUGGACAUCUCCAUAAUGCUCAAGCAAGAAAACAUUUACUUAUUAAAGUGAUAGUAGUGGUUGUUCUUUUCAUCUUUGACCAAGAUGACUACAACUCUUAGUUGAGAAGCAACCAUAAUCUUGACUACUUCUUAGUGAAGCAUACUUUAUGUGUUAUUUUCCUGGACAAUGAGAAAUCCUCCUCAUUGUUUAUCUAUUGCAGUCUCUAAGAGAAAAGGCCUUGGGUCUUCCUUUUUCACAGUUCUAAUAAGACUUGAGAAAAGAUGACAGGAUUUUUCUGAAAUCCUCCAAAUCUGCCACCUUUCUUCUCUUUCUUAUCUAUAUUGGAGUGAUGGCAUGAUGGGUACUCAUACUGGAGAAAGUUAAAAUUAGAUUUCCUUAAAAUAAUUUUAUAUUCUCUGAAUGGGUACCCACUACUCUGUCAGCACCCAUUACUUUGGCUAAAAUUUCUCCAAGCACAGAAAAGUCUUUUCUUUAUGUGGAGAUCCUAAAUGAAUGAAAAGAGAAAGGAAAAGGAUCAAAGGUUUCAAGUUGAUGACUGAUUCAUUGUUUUGAAACAUUUUUUUUCCUGCCUGGAUAUUGCUCUGCUGUUUUCUAACUUGUUUUUUAGUUGUCUUAUAUUCCCUCAGCCGUGGCAGUAUUCGUGGAGCCAAGUGUGAGUGUACUACCUCAAAAUGCCAGCAGUGGAAGCUGGUAAGCAAGUGGGGAAAAAUCACCAAAGGAAUCUCUGAAGCUUGGGACAAAGGCAAAAAACACAUCAGUACUGCACUAACAGAGCAGCAGGUACCCUUAUAGAGAAGGUAACAUUACAGGUAAGGAAAUAAUUUACAUUUCUAUUUUGAUCUUAUCCACAUACCUUAUUACUCUCCCCUCAAAAUCCCAGGAAAAAAUACCCACAAAAAAUUUGAAGAAGUAUAAGAUCUCAGACAUGAUUAAUUUAGACUGCCUGAUUUUUUUAGUGGGGAUAAUGUGAAGUUCAAUCUUACCCAAUUUAUGGAAAAAUGUAUUAAAAUAUGAAAAUCCCUUAUACCUGUAAGGCAAUUUAAAACCUCAGUCUAGUUUUAAAACAAGGCUGGUUUUGUUUUUCUUUUUAAAAUGUUUUGCUUUUUCAUAUUUAGAAUAUAAACACAGCUUGUUAUAAGUUUUCCUUUCCAAACCAAAACAACUGUAGGCUUAUUUUUAGGUAAGUGAAGUCAGAUAAAGCCAAAACCAGACAGACUCUGUUCCCAUCCCUCCAUCUCCUUUUACUUUCUUACAGUCGAAAGUGUAGCAUGACUCUUUAUUAUGCUUCAGUUUCCUCAUAUGGAGAAAGGAAGGAGGUUGUUUUAUCUCCCACUUGGGAUGAUUAGGUGGAAUAAGUGCUAUAGAAGAGAAGUAAAUUUCAUUUAUUUAAUUAAUUGUCUUGCAGUCUUUUAUGCCGUCAUGCUGCAGUCCCUCUAUGGAGUUGCGAUCACUGCAAAAACCUCAAGAGGAUAUAUCCUUGUCUGAAUUGCUACAGUUAUUAUCUGUUACAGAAAGUAAAAUAAGGCAAACGUGUAAAACUCCUCAAGGCCGAAUGGAGAAGUAGAGAAAGGAGGUUUCUGCUGUGCCUGAUGACAAUAUUUGUUUUUUCCACACAAAAAAUAUUCUGGCUCCACGUUGGAGCACUAGUUGUGAUGAAUCCUAGUCUUGGUCGGAUUCUAAGGAAGGGCCAGAACGUUCGUUGAGGAAUAAAGAGUCACAUCACUCCAGAAAAUGUGUUCCAGCCCUCGUUUAUUACUCACAGAGCAGCAGGUAACCUGAUAGCUAAAGACAAAUCAAGUCACUAUCAAGGCUGAUAAAAUUAAAUACAACACGUGGGAAUUUCAUUCCUCCAGGCAAUCCUUGAAGUGAAAUUUUAUACUGCUGGAGUGUAUCCUUCAGAAUCAAUUGUUUCAAUGAGAAUCUGUCUUGUAAUCAGCAACAGCCUUGAGAUCAAAACUACUGGAAAGUCAUUUUGAACUUCUGUGUCACAAAGAUUUCAACUGAUUGAACUGUGUACACUUGUAAAAUUGCACUUGCUGAGGAAUUUGCAGCUGUAAUCAUGUGUUGAUACUCUAAAGGUGCAGAAAAGCAGCAAACUGUUGGAUUCUCCAUUGCAGACCAGUGACUUUUCAUCUUGAUGAAGUCAACCUCCAAAAUGUAUUGGAUCCUUCCCUCUAAAAUGAUCCCUGGUCCACUUUCAGAUUGCUGGUGGUACUGCACAUUGCUUUAAUUAAAUUUCUGUUGCAGAAAUGGUCCUCUGGCAUGGCGCAGUUUUAGACAUUUUUAUUUGUGUUCAAAUCUUGCAGCUCUGAAAGAUACAUAUUUCAACAUCUUGAAGUUGCUUUUGUUAUAGGAAUGGAAUUAUAUAUCCAUUGUUAAUAAUUAUUGUUGACAAGUAAUAGUUAUCUGAAUACACCAGUCAUAUUAGAUUGUAUAGUCAGGCUGACGUGUUUGCCUAAGGCUAAUCAGCCACUGCAACUUAACAGUUAAAAAAGUAGUGGUCAAAACUCAAUUACCACCUCCAUUAUAAAGCAUUUUAUACCUCUAAGAUAUACAUUUCCAUUUAGUUUGAAGGAGAUGGGUGUUCCCAAUGUGUACUUUACUUUCCUAACCUUUAAUUGAUUUAAGUUCAUGGUAAGCAGCCAAUGACGGUAUUUCAUCUUUUUUUUGUCAGGGUAGGCAGGGAUGUAAAUGAGUUUUGCAAUUAUGAAAUUGGAUGGUAAUCACUCAGAAUUUUUGUCUUUUUAUUAAAAAAUAAAAUCUCUUGCUUGAACCUAAGUACUGAUGGAUGCUUAUGUAGAUGUCUGCUCAGUCUGUUUGCUAUAAAGGAAAAAAGUCCUAGUGCCCACCCAGAUUUACACUUCAUGGGUAUUUUGCUUGCUUACAGUCAUCCAAUUCAGAUCUGAUCCUUUCCAAAAUUUCUUUUUUCUUUUUUUUUGGUAGCAAUUUUUUUGAACUUUGUGAUGUGCUGUUACAUGAAAAAAAUCCUCAAUAUUUAAAGGCCUUAAGCAUCUCUGAGCUUUUUUCUAAGUUAUUACAGAAUGUAUAAUUUUAUACUCCAUUUAAUAUAUAUUGUACCAUCUGUAAUGUUGAUACAACAGAAAUUUGGCAGUUCCUUUUAGAAACACUGCAUAAAGAAGCUGACCAGAGAGGGUAAGGGAAUUCUGACUUUAUGCUUUGGUGAAUUGACAUGAAAGCCACACACACAGUGGUAGUAAAAAGUACAUAGGAGUAAGCUUAUGUGUGGUUACCAGAUUCACAAAAAAACCCCAAAAAUAAACCACAAACCAAACAAGCAAAAAACCCCCCAAAAGACAAAAAAACCAAAACAAGACAGAAGAGGGAAAAUAUUUUAUCAUUAAAAGCCAUUGACAUGGCUAGUUUAGUUAUAUAUUAGGUUCCAUGAUAGAUGAACACCCUGGAGUGCUCUGCCUGUCACAGUAGCCCCUGUUGUUCCAAAACCAUUUCAUUACCUCUGCUGUAUUAUUGCACAGGAGAGCUUAAAUAAAAUAAAUGACUGUUGGGAAUAAAAUUGAGAAGCAUAUUCUAUCAUUCUGCUGAGAAGUAAUAAAAAAUCUUUGGCAGGAAAAGAUCUUAUUUUCUGAUUAAAAUUUAAUUAGAAUAAUCUGUAGCAGCAACUAGGUAUCUCAGUAUUUUAGGAUGGAUUAGUAUUGUAUGGAUUUGUGCUAACAAGUUCAGGACAGAAGGUAGCAUCUUAAAGAGAUCGUCUGGGACAGUGCAAAAUAUAAAUGUGCUGUUUUGUAGACUCUGAAUAUGGCCUCUCUUUGGCCAAAAAUCUAUAUCAUGCUUCUAACUAAAUGUUUUCUUUGUUUCCUUGUUCUUAAACCAAUACUGAAAGUACUGUAUUAUAUAGAAGUGUAACACAUGCAUAUCAAUAAAUAAAAAUAAAUGGAUUUUCAAAUAUAUUGAAUAGAUUAUCUGCAGUAAUUAAUGUUGUGACUAUUCAUAGCAAGUGAAUAAAAUUAUAAUAUAAAAUAGAGUUCCCUGUAUGGAUGUGCACAUUGGAGAUCUAUUCUGUUUAUCCAUGAAACAAAAUAAUUUUUUCUUGAAUAAGAAUCCCAAGCAUUAUAUUUCUUCAGUAGAGCAGGGAAUAUCUCCUACCACAUUAAAAGUCCUUUUUGAAAGGAAACUGAUAUCUAACACAACUGUUCUAGCCUUGUUAUGGCAAAUUCUGGUGGGUGUACUGGCCUGUUGUCUUCAGGCCAGAUGGAAUAAAAAUGUUUUCUUUCUUCACAAAAUGUGAAUCCUGGAAAAUUAUCACUUAGACAUUUUAAAAAGCAACAGGACAUGGAUGCUAGACAUCCCUGAAAAAGUAAUAUUUCAGGUUAAUUUGUUGAACUGUUUAAAAGAAAGGGAAAAAAUCCAGUUUGACAGUGAACUCUGUGCACCUUGAAGCAAGCUGGGAACCACAGUUCAGCUAUCCACAGUGCUGGUUUAGUGCUGCCUUUGAAAAUGGAGAACAGGGGACUGGAUCAGCCACGGGCAUUCAUAUUGUAGGCAUGUGAGGAUGAUUCUUGCUUUAAUUACUCGUUUAUUCCUUAUAUACUACUUUCUAGAUUAUUUCAUCUGUUUACAAAAAUGAUCAGUCAUUAUGAGCAGAGGGAAAUCCAUGUUACCCUUUGAAUUCAGUAAUCAUCAGGAACUCUGAACUGCAGAAUAUGCAUUCCUGUUCCGCAGUUCUAAGUGGCAGUGCAUUGAGAGGGAAAGAAAAAUCACUGCUCUCUCACUGAAUGUCUUGGAUCAGUUCAACAAAACAUAAAGGAAAUCCUGAUAUGAAUUUUAAUGAAAAAAAAUUCCAAUUCAGAUCUAAUAAAUCUAAAAUAAAGCUUAAAAACCAUUCAAGUAUAGAUCUUGGUGAUAUCUAGUUUAUUGGUCAUAAGUGAAUGCUAGCCUUUAAAACAACACUGCAACACAGACUGCAUCAGAUACAUUUGUUUUGAAAUUAAAAAUCUGCUAUAAAGAAUUUUAUUUUGUUAUGUUUCAUAACAAUAUAUGCAGGGAAUUUUUGCUCAUUAUAAUUGUACAGCUGGUUUUUAUACUUUUCCAGGAAAGUCUAUAAAAACAAAACAGAAAUAUGUGAUUGGCAUCCAUAUCUGUUGAUUUACUGCCUCCUCCUACAUGCCUCGAAUUUUACACAUCUGUGGUUAACCAAGAUAUUGGCAAGGAUAUUGGAAAGGGAGUAUAGUUUUGGUUUGUACAAGAAGUAUUGCCUUAAUCUCUAGUUUCUUUUUGCCAAUAGUUAGAUAAGUCUGUGUCAAAAAAUGUCACACCUGAACAAUCCCAUGGCAUUAAAUGAUUUUUCAAGGAUUCAGUGGUAUUAAAUUAAGAAGAAUUACCUAGUCACUUUGUUUGUCUUUAUAGUGCAGUUUGUAACCUAAUAAACUUUUCUGUUUAUUCUUUCAUAGAAUGAGAAAAUAUUUCCAGAUGACAUUUUUGAUCUUGUUUCUGGAAGAGGUUAUGUAACUUUCUGAUAUCACUUUACAGAGAGUCACUGCACAUAUUUUAGUUGUUUUUGUAUCUUCUGUAUUCAUCUGUACUGCUUAUGUGGUAAUUAGAAGAGGUAGUAUAUGAAAAGGCUGCAUUUCCCACAACUUUUUUUUGACACAUUUACAGGAUUAUAAGUGUUGUCAAUGUCUCUUAAUCUAAAAGUAAUGUAAGACCAUCUGGAAGAAGGGCCACUAAUGGUGACAUGGGAAACUCUUGUAUAAGGGAAUGACAGUUCUUUCUCAGACUACUGUGAGUGGGAUGCCAGACAAGUCAAAACCAUUGUACUGUGGUUUCACAGCCAGAGAUGUAGGUUCUAGGGAAGUGAAUCCAGCAUGUGAACACUGGGGUACAGUCAGCAACCUGAAGCUGAGCUUUAUUUUCACUCCCUCCUUGCUGGUAUACAGGUAAUUCUGUGUGGCAAUGGCAAGUGAUAUCCAAUUUUUCCUUGCUAGUAGAUUCUCUUGAUUAAAUAUCACUAAUUCCAUCAAUAUUAUUUUUCAAUCAAAAAUGAUUGAAAGACUUGAAAUAUAUCUGGCUUUCAGUUCUGAAAACCAAUUUAUUACCCAACUGAAUUAAAUAAAUAGUUUGUAUAAUAGAAAUAUUAUUGCUUAUAUGUAACCCUAACCGUAAAAGUUCUGUAUUAGCUCUUUAAAUUAUGUUUACAUUCAUAUCUGUAAAAUUAGGUUUAGGUCAUCUAUAACAGCAGGGACAUUCUUGUUUCCCUCCCUAAAACACUGAAGUAACCUAGCGACACUCUAGUUUGGGAUUUAUGGCUUUGCUUUCACUGUUUCAACUGCACAGCUGGGAAAAAAGCGUAUAAAAAUGCUUAUGUUACUCACAUUGCUGAGAAAUUUUUCUUGAGUAUGAGGAAUAUGUGAAGUUAAAAAUUUACCCUGUAUCAGCAUAUGGGUUGAAUCUCUUGGACUCUUUUCUUCUUACUGUCAUAACAAACAUGACAGAAACUGUACUUGAAUUCUCCAGCCUUGUGUCUUAGUAUUUAAAACUAAUAUCCAGAACUUACAAAAUAUAUGCUACUUAUUUUAGUUGCUGUGUCCUCACAUAAAGGAAUUUUUUUAGUCUGUUUCUCUCUUUAUAAUUAAUUAUGGAUGCCUUGUCCUAUUUCGGCGUGGAGAAUAUAACCUUUCCUAUUACUGAUUUAGAGUUUCUGUCUCUUUUUUGUUAUUGUUCUUUCUACUUUUCUUUGGUCAUUUUCUCUUUUGCUGGGAUCCAGACAGUUCUUACAAAACUUUAGUAGUGAUGAGAAAAGAUUUUUAAUACAUAGUGGCUUGGAACUGAACACAGGCUCUUAGCAGUUCUUGGAGAGAAGAGAGGGAGAUGUGUUUCUAUGAUUUUAUCUUAAAAUAGUUUCCAGUUUAAACUAUUCUUUCUAAAGAGAAGCAUUUUUUCCUAACUAUAAAUGGACUGUGUUUCAAUAUGCUCUCUGAUCAUAAAGCUGAUGAAAUGGUCCUCUCUGUAUGGCAGAUUACUUCAGCAGAAUUUACAAAUGGGAGAUGAUGAUUUUGCUAAUGUCCAUAGGCAGGUAGACAGAAUUUGGUCCCAGAUGCUCUGCCUAAUGUUCAUGGCAAAAAUGACUCAAAAAACAAUGCCUCCAUAUGCCAUAAUUGCUGGAAUUAUUUCUCAGGCAUAUUCCCUUGUCAUCCCUCAUAUGUAGAACUCAUUAGAUUCCUAGUGGGAGAACAUAUGGAGAAGAGAGAUGAUGGAAAACAUUAUAAAACAGAUUGCGUAUUUAAAUUUAUAUUAUAGAAGACCUCUGUGCACAGGCAAACUUAGCAGAGAAAGUUCAAACUCUUUCUUUCCACUUCAUAAGGAUAUCAAUAUUUGUGAAGCUGUUAUCUCAGUGCAUUCAAAUCCACUUAUAUGGGUUAAAACCUGACAUUAGGGAUAAUAGUGGGAAUUUUGCUGCUAAUUUGAGGUCAACUCUGUAUUCCCUUAAUUAUUUUUCCAAAUAUUCAGUUCAACUAUAACUGUCUAAGAUGUUUCCACUAAUAGGAGUGACCAGAAGUCAAACUUCCACCUAUAUAAGUCUGAUGGCAGGAUCAGGCCUUUUGCUAUAUAUUUGUGAUUUCAGUGUCAACAUAAUGACUUUGAUGAAUACCUUGUUUGUGUUUCACAAAAAAAGUGAUAACAUUUCUUUCAUUCAUCUUAGCUGACUAAUGAAUGGGGAUCAUAUCUAGUGCAGAGCUGUUUUAAUGACUUCUAAAUAUUAAAAGUUAAUUAUUUAUCCUUUAUAUUAUAGUUAAAUAACACAAAAAUAAGGUAGUCAUACAUGAAUUUAAAAUAUUAUACACUGAUGUUUGUGAUGCUUUUUUGGUUACACUUAGGACUCUUUCUUGGUUUAUGAUAAAUUUUUUUCUGUUUUUUUUUUUUUUUCCUCAAUACUGAUCAUGAAGCUGGUUUCAACAGGGAGCAUUUGGGGUACUAUAAAGUGUCUAGUAGUGAAGGUGGGUACUAGCAUAAGCUACCCACUGGAUAAGGUGGGAGGUGGAUAGACUGAUGUCUGGGAACACUAUGGCCUUACUGCAGUGGCUGGUGAAAUAUGGCCUAUCACUUAGGGAAAGUGUAGAAAGUGUUUCUAGAGAAACAGUUCUGCAGACAUUGUUGCCCUGCUCCCAAAGAAAUGGUUCUGGCAGGGUGUCGCUUAUUGCAUGGAGCAGAAUCAAAUGUCAUACCUAAAUAAAUACUGGAAGGACACAGAGAAACAGUGUGGACAUCUAUUAUGGUGUGGCUCUACAGGCCUUAAAAAUGUCAGAUAUGUUCGUAGAAUGUCCAUCUAGGUCACUACCUUUUUAAAACGAGACACAAAAUGGCUGUUUAGGUAGUGUUUGCAAUAGAGUUGUGUGCGUAUUUGUGGGAAAAUAUGCCUGCCUGAAGCCAAGAUUUGGUGUCAUGUUGUGAGAGGGGGCCUCCAGAAGUUCACAUCUGAUGCUCCUCCUUUACUGCUGGAAAUGGAUCGUGUUAUACUGUUCUUCUAAGCCAGAGUAGUGCAGAAUACUGCUGACAGGCUGUACCACUUGUCCUGCAUCUUUCAGAGAAGAAUGGUUGCUCUGGCAAGCCUUGGCAGGAAGCAAAACACGCAUUACCACAUAAACUUUUGUCUUGAUACUGACAACCAUGAUUGUUCUCUGUGUUGGUUUUUUUUUUCUGACAACUACAGGAUAAAUAUUUAUUAUUAGGUGAAAAUUUAAAAUUUGUUAUUUUACACCAGUCUGAACAAUGCACUUAUUUGUUUAUCCUCUUAAAAUUUACUCAUUUGUGCUAUAAAUGUUUUAGCCGAUCUGUCUGCUACUGUUGGCACCUUUUAAAAUAGUGUCAUCAGCUAGUACUUUUUCAGUCACUGCAGAGAAAUGCUCUUUAGGUGGUAAGUCUUUCAUCAGCAUCUUGUGGUUUUUCCAUUCUGUCAGUACCUACAUUAGAAAUUAGAUGAUGAAGUAGUAAAAGAACCUUGAAAAGGUACUGAUUUAAUUAUUCUCAGGCAAAUAACUAGACCUUGCUAAGUGAAGCAAGUUUUAGCUCCUAUGUGUAAGAUUGUGUUCCAUCAUUCAGAAUAUCUGGCCCUCUGCUUUGAUUCAAAUUUGAUUAUACAGAAAUUUGUGCAGUUGUAAUAGCAAUAUAAAACAUUAACAGCUACUUGAAAGAUGGAACCUUAAGUAUUGAUGUAUGCAAUCAAGUAUCCAGCACAUUUCAAACUGAGGGCUCUACCUAAUAUUCCUAAUGGAUGAGGAAAGUAGCAACCAUUUUCCACAUUUUUAUGUCUUUGGAAGGAAAUAGAGACAUACCAGAAGACUGGGAGCUAAAGUGCUGACUGUACUUGAGUUAAUGAUGUGUUUACUGCCCAAGUCCAUAUAGCUUGGAUCUUACCUCACCUUUUGUUGAAGUUUGUAACACAAGGACCUUAAUCUGAUCUAUUUCUGCAAUUAGCAGUUCUGAAAGGGGACACAAAAGGGAGUUCAAGGCUGCUUGUGCCUAGGUUAGCUCUACUGUCUUAAGUUAUUCUCCAGGUAAAUCUAGUCUUAAUAUUCUAGCGAAAUAGUUCAGAAAAUUAAGCUGCAGUUAAUUUGGAGAUCUAGACGAAAGAGUACAUGAAGUAUCAAGGACUUGGGUAAGAACAAAAUAGAAAUGACAGAAAAUUUAGAUUUCCUUUACUGUUUCACCAGAUAUCACAUUGCUGUGUAAUUGUGGUAAUUAUGGUCCUAGUUCCAUCUCCAACAGAGAAAUAUGGGAAAUUCAGUCCUGCUCUUUUUUUCUGCCAUAAAACACAUACCAAAAUCAGUUUAUAAAAGUAAUUUGGCAUAAAACUUUUCCUCUCAAAGCCCCUGUGCAAGGUCUUUGUUCUAUGCCUGUGCUCCUUAAAUCCUGAAAUAGAGCUUUCUGGGAACUUUGCUGGUAACUAAAGCUUCUUGUGGUCGUCUAGAGAGGUUUACAUCUCAUACUGACUACCUGUGCUGGCUGUUCCAAAAACUAUAGCAUUCAUUCCAACUCCUGCCUCUCCUUACUUUGUUGUUGGUCAGUAUAGUAGAAAACAUGCUUUGUAAAUACUGUCUUUAAAUUUGAUAUAUUUGAUUAUCUAUAGCAAUUCCAAAACAGUAUUUCUUACUUUGUGUCAAACUUAUAAAUGAUUAAAAUGUCCUGAAUAGUCAUAAACUCAUUCAAUUCAUUCACAAUAAAGAACUGUGGUGCCUUAAGCUACUUUUUACCAGUCAGAGUAUUGUCAAGGUGACCUUUCAUGCUGCUUCAACUACCAUUAUUUAACUAUUAGAAUGAUGGAAAGCUUGCACUUUGCUAUUUGAGUGGCAACAUUCCUAGACAUGGGGAUCUGAAAGAGUGGAACCUAUGAGAGACUAUAAUUAAUGUGCCACAUUAAGGAGUUAAGGAUAAGCAGCCAAAGAAAGACUAAACCUAGUGGAGCUAGGCAGCUGCAGUCUAGUCUUGAAAACUAAAAAUCCAUUUGCAGUGCGUUUUAUAUUCCUAAUAUCUGCUGGUGGUGUCAAGUUUUUAAUGAUAACUCAUUUUUCCUGCACUGUGCUUUGACCAUCCAUUGUUAAAAAAUCUACAUGACAAUGCAGCCUCUGGAUUGCUAUUAUAUUGCUUCUCAAAUUUAAAUAUAUAAUGAGAUAAAUGUCAUAUUAUAGUUUUACCUUCUCUUUUAAAAAGAGAAAAUUAAUUUCUGUUUGUUUUGAAAUUUUAAUGUCCAUAUUUAUACAAAUAUAAACAAUUGGAAAAAACACUAAAUAUCUGAAAGCUCUGUGUGUGUGUGUGUGUAGAAUUAAUGAGUUUUUAAAACAGUUUCAAGCUACACAAAAGCCCACUAGGGACUGGUAUAUUAGACCAAAAUUAGUGAUACACUGGAUACACUAAUCCUUGCCUACCCAGGACGUGCCCACUGUGUAGAGAGGAAAGGUACACUAAAGCAAAUAGGAACUUGUUGUAUCCCACUCUAUAAAAUCUGCAUAUGUUUGUCUGUGUAUGCUUUCACUGUAGGGCAAGAGAUUUUGUAUGCUGUAAAGACAGCAGGAAGCAAUCGUAGAAGGCAGUAGAAAACACAUCUUUUGGGUCACAGAGGGGUAAAAAAGGGAAAAAGUUAUCUUUUUAGUUAAAAUGCAAAUUUAGAAAAAUAUUUUUCUUUGUUUUAAAUGAAUUGAAAAGAAAAACGAGUUGUUUGUGUAAGUUGUACUUACACAACAAUAAUUGAGAAAUAAUAAUUUUCCCUUUAGAAAAUAAUUUUGCUGUAUUUUAAGUCUGUUCAUUACCAUGUUAAAAUGUAAUUUUUCCAUGACUGUAUGAUUAAAUGCAUUCUCUUUACAUGAGGCUUGACUCAUGUUGGUAGAAAGCAAAAUCACUAGAAAGAUGUGGCUGUUGAAAAAGCUUUUGUCUUCACAAUGCUGUUGGAGGAGGAUGAACAUCACAGACUGUGGGAGCUGUGUAAAACGCAGAACAGAAGAAGGUUUCUUUUUCCAUCAGUGGUUAGGUGAUUUAUAUACAUGACUCUCAUUAACAUUAAUGGGAGUUAUCUGCCUCAUUUUUAUGAUCCUGAUGUGAAGUUAAUGGCAGUCUUCCCAUUGUCUCUAGUGGGCUGUGUAUCAACCACUAAGUGCACAAAUGGGUUUGGUUGAAAUAUUGGUGCUUGUAGAAUGGUGCUUGCUUAGAAUUUCAACAUGCUUCAUUUACAGUUACAAAAAAAAUGCUGUGUCAAUGCCUAAGUGUCUGAGCCGAGGAGUUUAAUACUGCAAAGUGUGCUGAUCUGUGUGCAUUUUGGGGCAUCCACACGGCAGACUGAAGGGAUAUCUGAGCCAGCUCACAAUGAUCUGAUGUGUGCAGGGACAAUAAACUGCCAAGCAGCAUGACCUGAUUUACUUUUCAGAGAUCUGAACUGGAAUAGGUGUAAUGGAGUCUGUUGUCCAGGCCAUGCGAUGGGAGAGUUGCAGUGCCAUGUGCAAUCUACCCUGGGAUCUGUCUCUGUGCUGAGUUCUCCUCUGGUUUUGACUGGGUUUGUUGUGUGGUUUUUGGUGUUGUUGUUGAUUGGCGUGUUUUGUUUUGUUUUUUGUUUGUUUGGGGGGGUUGUGUGUUUGUUUUUUUUUAAUAGAGGAAUCGUAUUUUCAUUGCAGUAAACCUUUCAUUGACUUACGUAUGCUUUGCAAUUUUAACAGAACUAGACUCUGAUACUUUUUCUUCUGUGAGGAAGGGAAGGAGACCUGAUAUUAUGAGUAGAACUUGAAGGACAUCUGUUCACAUUUGUACCAGGAUAGAGUUCAUUUUCUUCCUGGUAGCUGGUACAGUGCUGUGUUUUGGAUUUAGUAUGAGAAUAAUGUUAAUAACACACUGGUGUUUUGUUUCUAGAUAGAUAGCGUGUAAGUAAAAGACUUUUCAGUGUCCUGUGUUCUGCCAUUGAGGUGAUGCACAAGACACCGUGAGGGAGCAUGGCCAGGAAAACUGACCCAAACUGACCAAAGGGAUAUUCCAUACAAAGAAUAUCAAGCUUAGUAUAUAAACUGCAGGGAGUUGGGUGGGAGGGGUGAUAACUGCUCAGGAGUGGGCUGGGCAUUGGCCAGUGGGUGAGCAAUUGUAUUUUGCAUCACUUGUUUCUCUUGGAUUUUCUUUUUCUCCCCUUUUUCCUUUUUUUCCCCUCCUUUUAAUUUUUUUAAAAAUUACUAUUAUUAUUAUUAGUGCUGUUAUUAUUAUUAUUAUAAUAAUUUUAGUUUGUUCCAAUUAUUAAACUGUUCUUAUCUAAACCCAUGAGGGCUAUUUUAUUUCUUCUCUGACUCUCAUACCCAUCCCACUGGGGAGGUAAGUGAGCAGUUGCGUGGUACUUAGUUGCUGGCUGGGGUUAAACCACAACAGCAUGCAUGUUCCUUACUGUGACCCAGCCACUCCAGGAACAGAUGACCAGCCUUGCCAUCAGUGAAGAACAUUUCUCACCACACACAGACAAGCCUGUACAAGAUAGCUUUCCUCUGGACUGGAAACUUCUCUUGUAGUUACUCAUGUUCAUUCUAAAAUAUUGAAGCAAUACCAGGUUUCUCCUUAUCACAAUGUGACAUUGGUGUAUACAUAAAAACCUGGCCUACAGAAGAACUGUUGGGAGGAAAAAUUUUAUGUUGAAGCUGAGCUUCUAAUAAUGUUAGGGGAAGCUACAUCCUGAGAGCUUUCAGACACAAAAGGUUCCUCCUCCCAGUCUGCCAGAUAUCACCUCUGAUAGUCUCAGUUCCAGGUCCGGGCUGUAGCAAGGCUGGGCAUGUACUUUGAAGACACAUAUGUACAAACAAUACAACGCAGACCAACAUAGGCAAGAGACUGGCACUUUUAGCAGCACCCAUGUAUAGAUGCACAAAACAUGCACGGGGUCAUAUGUAACACAGACCACCCAUUCACUUCCUCCUCUCUGGCUGAUCAGGAUUGAAACCUUUGCACCAAAAUAGUUUGCUGCACCUGAAAUGUGCAACAAAAUGCAGUUAAUGUCCUCCUCAGGCUGAAAUUUUGCUAUGUUUUUUCUAUCUGCAUGGCAUCAUGAAAUAUCAGCUAUUGCAGAUGGACUGGAUUUUCCCCGGCUCUGGGUUCCUUACAGUUUCAAAAUAGAUGAGAGAAGCAGGGGAGGUGCUAUACAACAUUGGUAAUCCAUCAGGUAAGGAACAAACAAGCACCCAAAUUUGGGAUUUACUGGCUACAUUCACAUAUUUUAGGGGAUGCAUAGCUGGAGUAAUUGUAAGAAGAACAGAACAAAUACUCCCUACUUGUUCAGUUCAGGUACAGCUCCUCAUCAUGCAUAACAGAAAAGGUAGGUGUAGGGAAGAAAAUAGAUAUUAAUACCAUUCUGUUUGCCUGUAGGAAGUCUUAAAAUGUUAUUUACAAGCUGUGGUUUGGUGCUUUGGUUUUAAUUAACUUUUUUUUUUUCCUUUCUUAUUUAUUUUUAGACUAAGCAUUGUUAGAUAAUUUAAAAAAGCACUUUAAUACCUUGUUAGCUAUCACAAGUUGGACUGCACUGCUCUGGAAUUUUUUUAUUGCAUAUAUUUCAAAUUUUAAUAAAGUUCUGUAUUUUUA